AGAACGAACGCUGGCGGCAGGCUUAACACAUGCAAGUCGAACGUUCGUAGCAAUACGGGAGUGGCAGACGGGUGAGUAACGCGUGGGAACAUACCCUCCGGUUCGGAAUAGCUCAGGGAAACUUGGAUUAAUACCGGAUACGGCUGAGAGGCGAAAGAUUUAUCGCCGGAGGAUUGGCCCGCGUUCGAUUAGCUUGUUGGUGAGGUAACGGCUCACCAAGGCGAUGAUCGAUAGCUGGUCUGAGAGGAUGAUCAGCCACAUUGGGACUGAGACACGGCCCAAACUCCUACGGGAGGCAGCAGUGGGGAAUAUUGGACAAUGGGCGCAAGCCUGAUCCAGCCAUGCCGCGUGAGUGAUGACGGCCUUAGGGUUGUAAAGCUCUUUCGCUCGGGACGAUAAUGACGGUACCGAGAUAAGAAGCCCCGGCUAACUUCGUGCCAGCAGCCGC
Molecule: ribosomal RNA, 448 nt
Filed under: uncultured bacterium
Lineage: Bacteria
Description: SSU rRNA
Rfam family: Bacterial small subunit ribosomal RNA
Source: RNAcentral